UACGUAGGGUGCAGGCGUUAAUCGGAAUUACUGGGCGUAAAGCGUGCGCAGGCGGUUUGCUAAGACAGGUGUGAAAUCCCCGGGCUUAACCUGGGAACUGCGCUUGUUACUGGCAAGCUGGAGUGUGGCAGAGGGGGGUGGAAUUCCACGUGUAGCAGUGAAAUGCGUAGAGAUGUGGAGGAACACCGAUGGCGAAGGCAGCCCCGUGGGCUAACACUGACGCUCAUGCACGAAAGCGUGGGGAGCAAACAGG
This 253-nucleotide ribosomal RNA is filed under the name uncultured bacterium. RNAcentral's name for it is "partial 16S ribosomal RNA". It matches the Rfam family "Bacterial small subunit ribosomal RNA", at positions 524 to 776 of the family's 1533-position model. The record is from RNAcentral.